This 789-nucleotide ribosomal RNA is filed under the name uncultured bacterium. RNAcentral's name for it is "bacterial SSU rRNA". It matches the Rfam family "Bacterial small subunit ribosomal RNA", at positions 612 to 1397 of the family's 1533-position model. The record is from RNAcentral.
CCCCGUGGUGUGCAGUGGGUACGGGCAGACUAGAGUGCAGUAGGGGAGACUGGAAUUCCUGGUGUAGCGGUGAAAUGCGCAGAUAUCAGGAGGAACACCGAUGGCGAAGGCAGGUCUCUGGGCUGUUACUGACGCUGAGGAGCGAAAGCAUGGGGAGCAAACAGGAUUAGAUACCCUGGUAGUCCAUGCCGUAAACGUUGGGCACUAGGUGUGGGGGACAUUCCACGUUUUCCGCGCCGUAGCUAACGCAUUAAGUGCCCCGCCUGGGGAGUACGGCCGCAAGGCUAAAACUCAAAGGAAUUGACGGGGGCCCGCACAAGCGGCGGAGCAUGCGGAUUAAUUCGAUGCAACGCGAAGAACCUUACCAAGGCUUGACAUGCACCAGACCGGCCCAGAGAUGGGUUUUCCUCUUUGAGGUUGGUGUACAGGUGGUGCAUGGUUGUCGUCAGCUCGUGUCGUGAGAUGUUGGGUUAAGUCCCGCAACGAGCGCAACCCUCGUUCUAUGUUGCCAGCACGUGAUGGUGGGGACUCAUAGGAGACUGCCGGGGUCAACUCGGAGGAAGGUGGGGAUGACGUCAAAUCAUCAUGCCCCUUAUGUCUUGGGCUUCACGCAUGCUACAAUGGCCGGUACAAUGGGUUGCGAUACCGUGAGGUGGAGCUAAUCCCAAAAAGCUGGUCUCAGUUCGGAUCGUGGUCUGCAACUCGACCACGUGAAGUCGGAGUCGCUAGUAAUCGCAGAUCAGCAACGCUGCGGUGAAUACGUUCCCGGGCCUUGCACACACCGCCCGU